AUGAAUUAAAUAUUUAGUAUAUUUCAUUUACAAUGAUAACGACUAUAUUCUAGAAUUCAUAAAGUAUUACUGUAAAUUAACUUAUUUAUAUUACAUACCUUUUGCAUAAUGGUUUAACAAAACAAUGAUUUAAAUUUUACCCGAAUUUAGAAGAUCUAAUUUUUUAGAAUAAAAUUAAUAAUGUUUCAAAAUUAUAAUUUAAUAAAAAUUAGGAGUGAAAGGCUUAUCAAUUCUAAAGAUAUCUGGAAUAAUUUAAAAUGUAUUAAGUACAAAAUAAAUUUUGAAUAAUAAAAUGUUAAUUUUUUUAUAAAGAAUUUAUGUUUAAAUUAAUAAGAAUUAAUCUUCAAUUAAAAUUUAUAAAAUUAAUUACUAUUUAAAUCUUAAAUUUAAAAUUAUAUUUAUAUUAAUUAAUAAAAAAAUUAUGUUAAAAUUAGUAUAAUAUUUUUAUUUGUAAAAGGAACUCGGCCUUCAUCUGUUUAUCAAAAAC
Molecule: ribosomal RNA, 487 nt
Filed under: Mysticarion insuetus
Lineage: Eukaryota; Metazoa; Mollusca; Gastropoda; Stylommatophora; Helicarionidae
Description: partial large subunit ribosomal RNA
Source: RNAcentral